RNAcentral lists this ribosomal RNA (305 nucleotides) under uncultured bacterium. RNAcentral describes it as "bacterial SSU rRNA". It matches the Rfam family "Bacterial small subunit ribosomal RNA", at positions 338 to 660 of the family's 1533-position model. The record is from RNAcentral.
CCUACGGGGGGCAGCAGUGGGGGAUAUUGCACAAUGGGGGAAACCCUGAUGCAGCGACGCCGCGUGGGUGAAGAAGCGCCUCGGUGCGUAAAGCCCUGUCAGCAGGGAAGAAAAUGACGGUACCUGAAGAAGAAGCCCCGGCUAACUACGUGCCAGCAGCCGCGGUAAUACGUAGGGGGCAAGCGUUAUCCGGAUUUACUGGGUGUAAAGGGGGCGCAGACGGCGAUGCAAGCCAGGAGUGAAAGCCCGGGGCCCAACCCCGGGACUGCUCUUGGAACUGCGUGGCUAGAGUGCAGGAAGGGCAG